GACGAACGCUGGCGGCGUGCUUAACACAUGCAAGUCGAACGGAAAGGCCCUGCUUUUGUGGGGUGCUCGAGUGGCGAACGCGUGAGUAACACGUGUGUAACCUGCCCUUGACUUUGGGAUAACUUCAGGAAACUGGGGCUAAUACCGGAUAGGAGCUCCUGCUGCAUGGUGGGGGUUGGAAAGUGUCGGCGGUUGGGGCUGGACUCGCGGCUUAUCAGCUUGUUGGUGGGGUAGUGGCUUACCAAGGCUUUGACGGGUAGCCGGCCUGGGAGGGUGACCGGGGACAAUGGGACUGCGGUACGGACCAGAAGGGUACGGGAGGCAGCAGGGGGGAACAUGGCGCAAUGGGCGCAAGCCUGAUGCAGCAACGCCGCGUGCGGGAUGACGGCCUACGGGUUGUAAACAGCUGUGGCCGGUGACGAAGCGGGAGUGACGGUAAUGGGUAAAGAAGCACCGGCUAACUACGUG
This 468-nucleotide ribosomal RNA is filed under the name uncultured bacterium. RNAcentral describes it as "partial 16S ribosomal RNA". It matches the Rfam family "Bacterial small subunit ribosomal RNA", at positions 28 to 507 of the family's 1533-position model. The record is from RNAcentral.